Molecule: ribosomal RNA, 252 nt
Filed under: uncultured bacterium
Lineage: Bacteria
Description: partial 16S ribosomal RNA
Rfam family: Bacterial small subunit ribosomal RNA
Source: RNAcentral
UACGUAGGGUGCAAGCGUUGUCCGGAAUUAUUGGGCGUAAAGAGCUCGUAGGCGGUCUGUCACGUCGGCUGUGAAACCCGAGGCUCAACCUCGGGCCUGCAGUCGAUACGGGCAGACUAGAGUUCGGUAGGGGAGACUGGAAUUCCUGGUGUAGCGGUGAAAUGCGCAGAUAUCAGGAGGAACACCGGUGGCGAAGGCGGGUCUCUGGGCCGAAACUGACGCUGAGGAGCGAAAGCGUGGGGAGCGAACAGG